This 429-nucleotide ribosomal RNA is filed under the name bacterium. RNAcentral's name for it is "partial 16S ribosomal RNA". It matches the Rfam family "Bacterial small subunit ribosomal RNA", at positions 355 to 776 of the family's 1533-position model. The record is from RNAcentral.
UAGGGAAUCUUCGGCAAUGGGGGCAACCCUGACCGAGCAACGCCGCGUGAGUGAAGAAGGUUUUCGGAUCGUAAAGCUCUGUUGUAAGAGAAGAACGUGUGUGAGAGUGGAAAGUUCACACAGUGACGGUAACUUACCAGAAAGGGACGGCUAACUACGUGCCAGCAGCCGCGGUAAUACGUAGGUCCCGAGCGUUGUCCGGAUUUAUUGGGCGUAAAGCGAGCGCAGGCGGUUUAAUAAGUCUGAAGUUAAAGGCAGUGGCUUAACCAUUGUUCGCUUUGGAAACUGUUAAACUUGAGUGCAGAAGGGGAGAGUGGAAUUCCAUGUGUAGCGGUGAAAUGCGUAGAUAUAUGGAGGAACACCGGUGGCGACAGCGGCUCUCUGGUCUGUAACUGACGCUGAGGCUCGAAAGCGUGGGGAGCAAACAGG